CUCCGGGUGCGUUUGUUUUCUUACACUGGACGUGCCUGCAGCCUGUGUGUUGCUACAUGCUGUAUCUGUUCUUCCUGAGACCCAGUUCGUGAUUAACCAACCGACUGGAGCAGCAGAACUCUGACUAAAGCAGCUAUGUCUUUGCCAUCUAUAAGCUCAGAUCUAGGCUGGGCUGAAUUCACCAAUAUUUACUAAAUGUGUUGCGAGAGCCUCCAGGAGGUGACUACUUGCACAUGUUCUGAACUCCACAUGCUCAUGGUGCAGAGGUGAAUCGACUGCGUCUGGACAUACAUCCAGCUUUGAACACAGUUCAUUCUCUCUUCCUGAAGAUUUUGUCUCUGGUGAGUUGAUGAAAACUUUUUUGCCACUGUGCGGCGUUAGCUGACUGCUCUGUACCACAAUAUGAUAUUUUGUAGCCAGUGUUAACUAGUUGGUUGUAUUUAACUGCAGCUAGCCUGUUACCAUGACAGGUUUAAACAGGACUAUUUCAGUUUGUUUGAUUCAGAUUUAAAAUAUCCAGCACAGUUUAAAUUUUGAAAGUUGACAAUUUCAUAAGCUUAGUAGUGUUUACCAAACUGUCUCAACUAGAAAACAUGUUUAGCUUUUGUUGUAUGAGAUUGAUGUGAUUAAUUUAGUUCAAGU
Austrofundulus limnaeus is the source of this 642-nucleotide long non-coding RNA. RefSeq lists it as uncharacterized. The transcript has 3 exons. Lineage: Eukaryota; Metazoa; Chordata; Actinopteri; Cyprinodontiformes; Rivulidae. The record is from RefSeq and is a predicted model, not a curated record.